Molecule: ribosomal RNA, 497 nt
Filed under: uncultured bacterium
Lineage: Bacteria
Description: partial 16S ribosomal RNA
Rfam family: Bacterial small subunit ribosomal RNA
Source: RNAcentral
GAUGAACGCUGGCGGCGUGCCUAAUACAUGCAAGUCGAGCGAACAGACGAGGAGCUUGCUCCUCUGACGUUAGCGGCGGACGGGUGAGUAACACGUGGAUAACCUACCUAUAAGACUGGGAUAACUUCGGGACACCGGAGCUAAUACCGGAUAAUAUAUUGAACCGCAUGGUUCAAUAGUGAAAGACGGUUUUGCUGUCACUUAUAGAUGGAUCCGCGCCGCAUUAGCUAGUUGGUAAGGUAACGGCUUACCAAGGCGACGAUGCGUAGCCGACCUGAGAGGGUGAUCGGCCACACUGGAACUGAGACACGGUCCAGACUCCUACGGGAGGCAGCAGUAGGGAAUCGUCCGCAAUGGGCGAAAGCCUGACGGAGCAACGCCGCGUGAGUGAUGAAGGUCUUCGGAUCGUAAAACUCUGUUAUUAGGGAAGAACAAAUGUGUAAGUAACUAUGCACGUCUUGACGGUACCUAAUCAGAAAGCCACGGCUAACUACGUG